GACGAACGCUGGCGGCGUGCUUAACACAUGCAAGUCGAACGGAAAGGCCCUGCUUUUGUGGGGUGCUCGAUUGGCGAACGGGUGAGUAACACGUGAGUAACCUGCCCUUGACUUUGGGAUAACUUCAGGAAACUGGGGCUAAUACCGGAUAGGAGCUCCUGCUGCAUGGUGGGGGUUGGAAAGUUUCGGCGGUUGGGGAUGGACUCGCGGCUUAUCGGCUUGUUGGUGGGGUAGUGGCUUACCAAGGCUUUGACGGGUAGCCGGCCUGGGAGGGUGGCCGGCCACCAUGGGACUGAGAUACGGACCAGAAGCCAACGGGAGGCAGCGGUGGGGAGUAUGGCACAGUGGGCGGGAGCGUGAUAUAGCGGUGCCGCGUGCGGGAUGACGGCCUUCGGGUUAUAAACCGCUUUGGCCUGUGACGAAGCGUGAGUGACGGUAAUGGGUAAAGAAGCACCGGCUAACUACGUG
This 468-nucleotide ribosomal RNA is filed under the name uncultured bacterium. RNAcentral describes it as "partial 16S ribosomal RNA". It matches the Rfam family "Bacterial small subunit ribosomal RNA", at positions 28 to 507 of the family's 1533-position model. The record is from RNAcentral.